This 2940-nucleotide long non-coding RNA is filed under the name Homo sapiens (human). RNAcentral's name for it is "non-protein coding lnc-SEPSECS-4:3". The record is from RNAcentral. Lineage: Eukaryota; Metazoa; Chordata; Mammalia; Primates; Hominidae.
ACCUGCUUCCGUGAGCGCGGGGAGAAGCUGGGCACAGCUCGCUUUACUCCCAGUGGAGGGCGGGAAGCAUUUUCAACUUCUUUAAUGAGAAGCAUGUUCAGCCAGCAAAGAAGAAGAAGAAAAAUGGUUAUAGACAAGCAACCAACAGUAUCUGCCAUAGCUAUUUUAUAGCUGUUUAAACUUGGCUGGGGGUGAAAGAUGCCCUUCAGUGUCCCAAAUGAGAGAAGAGAAUUUUAAUUGGGAGUGGCCAAGGUUCACAAUUUCAGCCUGGAGGAAAGUAAAUUAAAGAGGGAAAUUUGGAUACACAAAGAGAUGCCAGGGAUUAACCUACCCAGAGGAAAGGCCACGUGAGGACACAGCAAGAAGGUGGCCGUCUGCAAGCCGAGAGAGGCCUCAGAAGAAGCCAAACCUGCUGAUACCUUGGACUUCCCAGCCUCCAGAUUUGUGAGAAAUAAACUACUGUUGUUUUAAGUCACCCAGUCUAUGAUAUUUUGUUAUAACAGCCCUAGCAAACUAAUACAAGGAUAUUCAUCAUUCUAUGUUUUUGUGCAUUGAAAUGCAUAAAUAUUUCAGCCUCAAUAUUUUCACAGAUGCUGUCUUUUUUGUUUUCAUUCAGAGUAGCUUUCUUCAACAAAUAUUUCAUAAGAACAACUUCAUAAUAUAAAUUGUCUCUAUUUAUGAUUCCACAUAAUUAUGGGCUUCCACAAUUUCGUUUUAUUCCAGUACAGAACAUAAAUUUAUCUAAUUAAAAAUAGGUGCUUCAGCAAAUGACUUAUCCUGCAAGUUGAAAUAUUCUAAAAUGCAAUUACAGAAUUUCAACAUUAAUAUUGUAUACUAUUUGAGGGCUUAUUGUUUAAUUUGUUCAGUACUCACUGUGCUUAUGAAAGGAUAAAUUUCAAGUUUCUCUGUUUGCAAAUGAUUUUUCCAAUAACCGCAUUUUGGUAUUUCAUUUGACAAAUACUUUGAUUAAAACUUUUUAUAAGCAUAUGAAAACGUGCUCAAUUUUAUUAUUCAUCAGAAAAAUACCAAUUAAAACUCCAAUGAGAUACCACUACACACUAGAAUGGGGAAUCGUAAAGAUUGACACUACCAAGUGUUGGCAAAGAUAAGUUGCAACUGGAAUUCUCAGACGUCGCUGGUAGGAACGCAAAAUGGUAUAGUACCUAGCGGCAUGGCAUUACAUUAUAAAGUUAGAUUCAUUACCACAUGAUCCAGAAAUUCUACUUCCAGAUUUCUACCAAGAGAAAUAAAAACAUAUGUCCAACAAAAACAUGAACAUGAUAGUGGGGUGUGGUGGUGGACACCUGUAAUCCCAGCUACUCAGGAGGCUGAUGCAGGAGAAUCGCUUGGACCUAGGAGGUGGAGGUUGCAGUGAGCUGAGAUCGCGCCACUACACUCCAGCCUGGGUGACAGAGUGGGACUCCAUCUCAGAAAAAAACCCAAAAAACAAAAACCCACAAAACAACGUGUACAUGAAUGUUUAUAGCAGCAUUAUUCAUAACAGUCCCAACUGGAAACAACACAAAUGUCCAUCACUAUUAGAUGGAUAAACAAAGUGUGAUAUAUUCAUACCACAGAAAACUAUUCAGCAAUACAAAGAAAGGACAUAAUACAGACAAUAACAUGGAUACAUCCUAAAAAUAUUAUGUUAAGAGAAAGAGGUCAAUCACAAAAGAUUCCAUACUAUGUGAAUCUACUCAUGUGAAAUUCUCUAUCAUGUAAAACCAUAGGGACAGAGAGAGAAUCAAUGGUUGCCUGGCGCCAGGGUUAGGGGAGAUAAGUGAAUAUAUACAGGUAUGAGAAAACUUUCUGGGGUGAAGAAUUGCUCCAUUUUUUGAUUUGGUUAAAUGAUUAGACACAAUAACCAAAAUUUACCAACCCGGACGCUUAAAAUUAGUAUAAAUAGGCCGGGCACAGUGGCUCACACCUGUAAUCCCAGCACUUUGGGAGGCUGAGGCGGGUGGAUCAUGAAGUCAGGAGUUCAAGACUAGCCUGGCCAACAUGGUGAAACCCCAUCUCUACUAAGAAUACAAAAAUUAGCUGGGCACAGUGGCAGACACUUGUAAUCCCACCUACUCGGGAGGCUAAGGCCAGAGAAGGGCUUGAACCGAGGAGGCAGAGGUUGCAGUGAGCCGAGGUCACGCCAUUGCACUCUAGCCUAGGCAAUACAGUGAGACUCUGUCUCAAAAAAAAAUUAGUAUAAAUAUUACCUUGAUAAACAAAAAGGAGAAAGCAGUUUCCAACCAAUUUUGAACAAAUACAACCAAAAUUAAGAGGACUAGUUUGUACAAAGUUCAGUACAAUGGUUGAAUAUCUAUAUUGGUUUAUAAAAUAGAUAUUCAAAGGCUUAAACAUUUUUAAACAUCAGACUGAUGACAGGUAGCAGACAGAAAACACAUAAUGCCAUAUUGAAGUAUGUUUUUAUAUUCAAUGUCAGCAUUGUCACAAGAUUUUGUAAUCUAGUUAUUCUGUGCAUAUGUAAAAAUAUUUGGCAAUUACAUUUUUUUUUUUUUGGGACAUAGUCUUGCUCUGUUCCCCAGGCCGGAGUGCAAUGGCGUGAUCUCAGCUCACUGCAACCUCUGCCUCCUGGAUUCAAGCGAUUCUCCUGCCUCAGCCUCCUGAGUAGUUGGGAUUACAGGCAGCUGCCACCACGCCCAGCUAAUUUUUCUAUUUUUAGUAGAGGCGGGGUUUCACCAUGUUGGUCAGGCUGGUCUUGAACUCCUGACCUCAGGUGAUCCACCCGCCUUAGCCUCCCAAAGUGCUGGGAUUACAGGUGUUAGCCACCGUGCCCAGCCCGGCAAUUACAGUUUCUUUUUGAUAAUUACAAGAAUUAUUUUUUGAGAGUUUGAAUGCAGUUAUAAAUUAUGUGCAGUUAUAAAUUAUCCAAAUGCAAGUAAAUCUCUUUAGUAAGAACACUACUUUUUUCAAAAUUUGUAUGUA